RNAcentral lists this ribosomal RNA (636 nucleotides) under Bathynectes longispina. RNAcentral's name for it is "SSU rRNA". It matches the Rfam family "Eukaryotic small subunit ribosomal RNA", at positions 766 to 1396 of the family's 1831-position model. The record is from RNAcentral. Lineage: Eukaryota; Metazoa; Arthropoda; Malacostraca; Decapoda; Polybiidae.
UUAGAGUGCUCAAAGCAGGCUACACUGACGGCCUGAAUGCCUAUGCAUGGAAUAAUGGAAUAGGACCUCGGUUCUAUUUUGUCGGUUUUCUGAACCCGAGGUAAUGACUAAUAGGAACAGGCGGGGGCAUUCGUAUUGCGACGCUAGAGGUGAAAUUCUUGGACCGUCGCAAGACGAACUACUGCGAAAGCAUUUGCCAAGGAUGUUUUCAUUAAUCAAGAACGAAAGUUAGAGGUUCGAAGGCGAUCAGAUACCGCCUAGUUCUAACCAUAAACGAUGCUGACCAGCGAUCCGCCGGUGUUAUUCCCAUGACCCGGCGGGCAGCUUCCGGGAACCAAAGUACUUGGUUCCGGGGGAAGGUAUGGUUGCAAAGACUGAAACUUAAAGGAAUUGACGGAAGGGCACCACCAGGAGUGGAGCCUGCGGCUUAAUUUGACUCAACACGGGGAACCUCACCAGGCCCAGACACCGGAAGGAUUGACAGAUUGAGAGCUCUUUCUCGAUUCGGUGGGUGGUGGUGCAUGGCCGUUCUUAGUUGGUGGAGCGAUUUGUCUGGUUAACUUCCGAAUAACGAACGAGACUCUGGCCUACUAACUAGUCGACGGAUCUCCAGCAAUUGGUGUCCAGUUCGUAGUC